RNAcentral lists this ribosomal RNA (407 nucleotides) under Verrucomicrobiota bacterium. RNAcentral's name for it is "Verrucomicrobia bacterium partial 16S ribosomal RNA". It matches the Rfam family "Bacterial small subunit ribosomal RNA", at positions 355 to 776 of the family's 1533-position model. The record is from RNAcentral. Lineage: Bacteria; Pseudomonadati; Verrucomicrobiota.
UGGGGAAUAUUGGACAAUGGAGGAAACUCUGAUCCAGCAAUUCUGUGUGUGUGAAGAAGGUUUUAGGACUGUAAAACACUUUUAGUAGGGAAGAAAAAAAUGACGGUACCUACAGAAGAAGCAACGGCUAAAUACGUGCCAGCAGCCGCGGUAAUACGUAUGUUGCGAGCGUUAUCCGGAAUUAUUGGGCUUAAAGGGCAUCUAGGCGGUAAGACAAGUUGAAGGUGAAAACCUGUGGCUCAACCAUAGGCUUGCCUACAAAACUGUUGAACUAGAGUACUGGAAAGGUGGGUGGAACUACACGAGUAGAGGUGAAAUUCGUAGAUAUGUGUAGGAAUGCCGAUGAUGAAGAUAACUCACUGGACAGAAACUGACGCUGAAGUGCGAAAGCGAGGGGAGCAAACAGG